Ostrinia furnacalis (Asian corn borer) is the source of this 343-nucleotide long non-coding RNA. RefSeq lists it as uncharacterized. Lineage: Eukaryota; Metazoa; Arthropoda; Insecta; Lepidoptera; Crambidae. The record is from RefSeq and is a predicted model, not a curated record. The transcript is spliced from 2 exons.
AGGAGUUUAAGUGCAGGGAAUAUGGUUUACAGGCCUAACUGAGGUGUGGGUUUGGUUGAGGGAAACUGGAUCUUAUGGCGGAGGAGUUACGGUCGUGCUCUCCAGGCGUCUGAACUCCGUGCCUGGGCCGGCAAGCCUGAGAACGUUCUGGCUGGACAGCAGGAGCUUCUGAAGAGAGCUAAGGCUAACGGUCUAGCCAGCCAAGCCAAAUACGUAGCUGGUUCGAUUCCGUCUUUAGCUGCCUCAAAAUCCAACUUUGUUAAGUCGCACGCCUACUAAAAUGUUAUCUUUAAAGAGUUUAUGGUUAAAUCUCGAAUUUUUCGAUUUACACAGAGAUUUUAAA